This 201-nucleotide ribosomal RNA is filed under the name uncultured Pseudomonas sp. RNAcentral's name for it is "partial 16S ribosomal RNA". It matches the Rfam family "Bacterial small subunit ribosomal RNA", at positions 157 to 354 of the family's 1533-position model. The record is from RNAcentral. Lineage: Bacteria; Pseudomonadati; Pseudomonadota; Gammaproteobacteria; Pseudomonadales; Pseudomonadaceae.
GGAACGCUAAUACCGCAUACGUCCUACGGGAGAAAGCAGGGGACCUUCGGGCCUUGCGCUAUCAGAUGAGCCUAGGUCGGAUUAGCUAGUUGGUGAGGUAAUGGCUCACCAAGGCGACGAUCCGUAACUCGGUUCUGAGACGGAUGAUCAGUCUACACUGGAACUGAGACACGGUCCAGACUCCUACGGGAGGCAGCAGGA